RNAcentral lists this transfer RNA (63 nucleotides) under Rattus norvegicus (Norway rat). It matches the Rfam family "tRNA". Rfam says of the family: Transfer RNA (tRNA) molecules are approximately 80 nucleotides in length. Their secondary structure includes four short double-helical elements and three loops (D, anti-codon, and T loops). The record is from Rfam by way of RNAcentral. Lineage: Eukaryota; Metazoa; Chordata; Mammalia; Rodentia; Muridae.
GGGGAUUUAGCUCAGUGGUAGAGCCCUUGCCUAGCAAGUGCAAGGCCCUGGGUUCAGUCCCCA